Molecule: non-coding RNA, 110 nt
Organism: Acanthosepion pharaonis
Lineage: Eukaryota; Metazoa; Mollusca; Cephalopoda; Sepiida; Sepiidae
Source: the annotation of a GenBank genome assembly
GGCCACAUCACGUUGAAACACCGAUUCCCGUACGAUCACCGAAGUUAAGCAAUGUCAGGCCUGGUCAGUAGCUAGAUGAGUCAAAGUUUAGGAACAACAGGUGCUGUAAG